Molecule: ribosomal RNA, 174 nt
Filed under: Vibrio vulnificus
Lineage: Bacteria; Pseudomonadati; Pseudomonadota; Gammaproteobacteria; Vibrionales; Vibrionaceae
Description: partial 23S ribosomal RNA
Rfam family: Bacterial large subunit ribosomal RNA
Source: RNAcentral
GUAUGGACGGGAUAAGUGCUGAAAGCAUCUAAGCAUGAAGCCCCCCUCAAGAUGAGAUUUCCCAACUUCGGUUAUAAGAUCCCUCAAAGAUGAUGAGGUUAAUAGGUUCGAGGUGGAAGCGUGGUGACACGUGGAGCUGACGAAUACUAAUCGAUCGAAGACUUAAUCAAAAUU